GUAGGUGGCAAGCGUUGUCCGGAAUUAUUGGGCGUAAAGCGCGCGCAGGCGGUUCUUUAAGUCUGAUGUGAAAGCCCACGGCUCAACCGUGGAGGGUCAUUGGAAACUGGAGAACUUGAGUACAGAAGAGGAAAGCGGAAUUCCACGUGUAGCGGUGAAAUGCGUAGAGAUGUGGAGGAACACCAGUGGCGAAGGCGGCUUUCUGGUCUGUAACUGACGCUGAGGCGCGAAAGCGUGGGGAGCAAACAGGGAUCAGAUACCCUGGUAGUCCACGCCGUAAACGAUGAGCGCUAAGUGUUAGGGGGUUUCCGCCCCCCUUAGUGCUGCAGCUAACGCAUUAAGCACUCCGCCUGGGAGUACGGCCGCAAGGCUG
Molecule: ribosomal RNA, 373 nt
Filed under: uncultured organism
Description: partial 16S ribosomal RNA
Rfam family: Bacterial small subunit ribosomal RNA
Source: RNAcentral